GACGAACGCUGGCGGCGUGCUUAACACAUGCAAGUCGAACGGAAAGGCCCUGCUUUUGUGGGGUGCUCGAGUGGCGAACGGGUGAGUAACACGUGAGUAACCUGCCCUUGACUUUGGGAUAACUUCAGGAAACUGGGGCUAAUACCGGAUAGGAGCUCCUGCUGCAUGGUGGGGGUUGGAAAGUUUCGGCGGCUGGGGAUGGACUCGCGGCUUAUCAGCUUGUUGGUGGGGUAGUGGCUUACCAAGGCUUUGACGGGUAGCCGACCUGAGAGGGUGACCGGCCACAUUGGGACUGAGAUACGGCCCAGACUCCUACGGGAGGCAGCAGUGGGGAAUAUUGCACAAUGGGCGGAAGCCUGAUGCAGCAACGCCGCGUGCGGGAUGACGGCCUUCGGGUUGUAAACCGCUUUCGCCUGUGACGAAGCGUGAGUGACGGUAAUGGGUAAAGAAGCACCGGCUAACUACGUG
This 468-nucleotide ribosomal RNA is filed under the name uncultured bacterium. RNAcentral's name for it is "partial 16S ribosomal RNA". It matches the Rfam family "Bacterial small subunit ribosomal RNA", at positions 28 to 507 of the family's 1533-position model. The record is from RNAcentral.